Molecule: ribosomal RNA, 615 nt
Filed under: uncultured Sordariales
Lineage: Eukaryota; Fungi; Ascomycota; Sordariomycetes; Sordariales
Description: eukaryotic LSU rRNA
Rfam family: Eukaryotic large subunit ribosomal RNA
Source: RNAcentral
CUAGAAGGUUGACCUCGAAUCAGGUAGGAGUACCCGCUGAACUUAAGCAUAUCAAUAAGCGGAGGAAGAGAAACCAACAGGGAUUGCCCCAGUAACGGCGAGUGAAGCGGCAACAGCUCAAAUUUGAAAUCUGGCCUCGGGCCCGAGUUGUAAUUUGUAGAGGAUGCUUUGGGCGCCGGCGCCUCCCGAGUUCCCUGGAAUGGGACGCCAUAGAGGGUGAGAGCCCCGUAGGGUGGGAUGCCUAGCCUCUGUAAAGCUCUUUCGACGAGUCGAGUAGUUUGGGAAUGCUGCUCAAAAUGGGAGGUAAAUUUCUUCUAAAGCUAAAUACCGGCCAGAGACCGAUAGCGCACAAGUAGAGUGAUCGAAAGAUGAAAAGCACUUUGAAAAGAGGGUCAAAAGUACGUGAAAUUGUUGAAAGGGAAGCGCUUACGACCAGACUUGUGCCCUGUGGAUCAUCCGGCGUUUUCGCCGGUGCACUUCACUUGGCUCAGGCCAGCAUCGGUUUUCUUAGGGGGUUAAAAACAGCGGGAAUGUGGCUCCUUCGGGGGUGUUAUAGCCCGCUGCAGAAUAUCCUUAGGGGGACCGAGGACCACGCUUCGGCAAAGGAUGCUGGCG